CAAUAUCUCAAUUAGAGAAAGGUUUGAAAACCGGAUUUUCCUAUAUUUCAAGAUUUCCAAAUCAAAGCAAAGACAAGUGAUAACCUUUUUUUGUCAGGUGAACUGCCAACUGGGCUUCAAAGGCCCAACCAGCUAUGCUAUUCCAAAGGAUGCCAUUCAGAGAAAUGAAAGAAACAGUUGAUCAGAUUGAUCCUAUCGUGAUUCAACGCCCACAUAGCGAACUCUCUGUUUUAAUAAUAAUUAUUUCCAAAGCAGAGCACCAAAGCAAUGCACACCUUGACCUCAGGUUUUGGCUUCUGGAAGCCCCUACUGCCUUGACAUUUAGCCCCCACAAUUUUAUACAACAAGAAAGAACAACAAAUAUUAAUAAUUCAGAGUCGAGAUAGCAAAAGUUAUAAAUUCAAUCAAUCAAAACAAGAACAGUCGAAUACAGAAGCAAAUUGCUCAAAUAAUGAGCUAUUUUAAAAUUUUGCUUCAAAUAAUGAGCUAAUUUAAAAAAAAAAUGAAAAAUAAAAAUGAUUUUCAUCAACAACACUCGGAGGAUGACGUCAUAGAUAUCCAUUUAAACAAACUUAACCAAAAAGUCCAAGCACAUCGACAACAGUUAAAAAGUCAAAGAAAGAUCGGUUUUUUACCUGCCUUGGUCAACCCAACAAAACGAGGGGUAAGCCCCAAUUCUGAAUUCAAUCAACGAUCUGGUUCUUAUAGGCCCAGAAGAAAAGAACUAACUAACAAAUAAUUAAUAAUAAUAAAUCAGAAAUAAGAAAUCUUGGUGAAUUUAAUUAAUUGCAAAGGCCCCGGCGUUCAUCAUUUUUCAUCAGAAAUCGGAGAAUUACGUGGACGAUAUAGAGGAGGAAUUAAUGUUGAUCGACCGAUAGAAAUAUUCUGCUAGGGUUCUUAUAUGAGCGAAUGGGGAACUGCUGAUGCUGCCGCUGCUGCUGCUGCUGCUGUACUUUUGAUUAAUUAAUUGGGAACCCGAAGCUGACGAGGGUAUUUGUGAAAUAAUGUUUGUGGAUUAUGGUUAUUUUAGGUAAUAUAUCAAGCCGAUUCCUUCUGGCACACAUUUUUCUUCGGCUAAUAUUCCACAUGGCGUGGCAUCUUAAUUGAAAUUGAAUCCGACCCCCACUG
Molecule: long non-coding RNA, 1128 nt
Filed under: Olea europaea (common olive)
Lineage: Eukaryota; Viridiplantae; Streptophyta; Magnoliopsida; Lamiales; Oleaceae
Description: long non-coding RNA (OEUR_LNC011063)
Source: RNAcentral